GAUGAACGCUGGCGGCGUGCCUAAUACAUGCAAGUCGAGCGAACGGACGAGAAGCUUGCUUUUCUGAUGUUAGCGGCGGACGGGUGAGUAACACGUGGAUAACCUACCUAUAAGACUGGGAUAACUUCGGGAAACCGGAGCUAAUACCGGAUAAUAUUUUGAACCGCAUGGUUCAAAAGUGAAAGACGGUCUCGCUGUCACUUAUAGAUGGAUCCGCGCUGCAUUAGCUAGUUGGUAAGGUAACGGCUUACCAAGGCAACGAUGCAUAGCCGACCUGAGAGGGUGAUCGGCCACACUAGAACUGAGACACGGUCCGGACUCCUACGGGAGGCAGCAGUAGGGAAUCUUCCGCAAUGGGCGAAAGCCUGACGGAGCAACGCCGCGUGAGUGAUGAAGGUCUUCGGAUCGUAAAACUCUGUUAUUAGGGAAGAACAUAUGUGUAAGUAACUGUGCACAUCUUGACGGUACCUAAUCAGAAAGCCACGGCUAACUACGUG
This 497-nucleotide ribosomal RNA is filed under the name uncultured bacterium. Its description in RNAcentral is "partial 16S ribosomal RNA". It matches the Rfam family "Bacterial small subunit ribosomal RNA", at positions 28 to 507 of the family's 1533-position model. The record is from RNAcentral.